GACGAACGCUGGCGGCGUGCUUAACACAUGCAAGUCGAACGGGCCCGCCCCUGUUUUUGGGGGUGGGUUGAGUGGCGAACGGGUGAGUAUCACGUGAGUAACCUGCCCCCUGCUCCUGGAUAACUGCUUGAAAGGGCGGCUAAUACGGGGUGUGCCGGCUGGUCCGCAUGGGCCUGGUCGGGAUAGUUUCAUCUUCGGGUGUUUCGGUGGGGGAUGGGCUCGCGGCCUAUCAGCUUGUUGGUGGGGUGAUGGCCCACCAAGGCGGUGACGGGUAGCCGGCCUGAGAGGGUGGGCGGCCACACUGGGACUGAGACACGGCCCAGACUCCUGCGGGAGGCAGCAGUGGGGGGUAUUGCACAAUGGGCGGAAGCCGGAUGCAGCGACGUCGCGUGAGGGAUGGAGGCCUUCGGGUUGUGAACCUCUUUCUCCGGUGGUGAAGGCCCUGUCCGUUGCGGCGGGGUUGACGGUAGCCGGGUAUGAAGCGCCGGCUAACUACGUG
RNAcentral lists this ribosomal RNA (499 nucleotides) under uncultured bacterium. RNAcentral's name for it is "partial 16S ribosomal RNA". It matches the Rfam family "Bacterial small subunit ribosomal RNA", at positions 28 to 507 of the family's 1533-position model. The record is from RNAcentral.